This 482-nucleotide ribosomal RNA is filed under the name uncultured Eubacteriales bacterium. RNAcentral describes it as "bacterial SSU rRNA". It matches the Rfam family "Bacterial small subunit ribosomal RNA", at positions 903 to 1382 of the family's 1533-position model. The record is from RNAcentral. Lineage: Bacteria; Bacillati; Bacillota; Clostridia; Eubacteriales.
UUAAAAUGAAUUGACGGGGAACCCGGCACAAGCAGCGGAGCAUGUGGUUUAAUUCGAAGCAACGCGAAGAACCUUACCAGGGCUUGACAUCCCUCUGACCGGCCGGUAACGCGGCCUUCCCUUCGGGGCAGAGGUGACAGGUGGUGCAUGGUUGUCGUCAGCUCGUGUCGUGAGAUGUUGGGUUAAGUCCCGCAACGAGCGCAACCCUUGUCAUUAGUUGCCAUCAUUUAGUUGGGCACUCUAAUGAGACUGCCGGGGACAACUCGGAGGAAGGUGGGGAUGACGUCAAAUCAUCAUGCCCCUUAUGUUCUGGGCUACACACGUGCUACAAUGGCCGGUACAGAGAGACGCAAUGUCGCGAGGCGGAGCAAAACUCUAAAACCGGUCUCAGUUCGGAUUGCAGGCUGCAACUCGCCUGCAUGAAGUCGGAGUUGCUAGUAAUCGCGAAUCAGAACGUCGCGGUGAAUACGUUCCCGGGCCUU